ACUCAAAUGAAUUGACGGGGGCCCGCACAAGCGGUGGAGCAUGUGGUUUAAUUCGACGCAACGCGCAGAACCUUACCAGGCCUUGACAUGCCUCGCGACGCUCUGAAAGGAGCGGUUCCCUUCGGGGACGAGGACACAGGUGCUGCAUGGCUGUCGUCAGCUCGUGUCGUGAGAUGUUGGGUUAAGUCCCGCAACGAGCGCAACCCUCGCCUUCAGUUGCCAUCAUUUAGUUGGGCACUCUGGAGGGACUGCCGGUGACAAGCCGGAGGAAGGUGGGGAUGACGUCAAGUCCUCAUGGCCCUUACGGCCUGGGCUACACACGUGCUACAAUGGCGAUGACAGAGGGCAGCGAAGGCGCGAGCCCGAGCCAAUCUCUAAAAGUCGUCUCAGUUCAGAUUGCACGCUGCAACUCGCGUGCAUGAAGGUGGAAUCGCUAGUAAUCGCAGAACAGCAGGCUGCGGUGAAUACGUUCCCGGGCCUUGUACACACCGCCCGU
Molecule: ribosomal RNA, 496 nt
Filed under: uncultured bacterium
Lineage: Bacteria
Description: partial 16S ribosomal RNA
Rfam family: Bacterial small subunit ribosomal RNA
Source: RNAcentral